RNAcentral lists this ribosomal RNA (261 nucleotides) under uncultured bacterium. RNAcentral describes it as "partial 16S ribosomal RNA". It matches the Rfam family "Bacterial small subunit ribosomal RNA", at positions 524 to 784 of the family's 1533-position model. The record is from RNAcentral.
GACGAGGGAUCCUAGCGUUGUUCGGAAUCAUUGGGCGUAAAGCGGGUGUAGGUGGGCUUCUAAGUCAGAUGUGAAAUCCCAGGGCUCAACCCUGGAAGUGCAUUUGAUACUGGAAGUCUUGAGUGUGGUAGAGGUUACUGGAAUUGUUGGUGUAGUGGUGAAAUACGUAGAUAUCAACAGGAAUACCGGAGGCGAAGGCGAGUAACUGGGCCAACACUGACACUGAGACCCGAAAGCGUGGGGAUCAAACAGGAUUAGAAA